AUUGAACGCUGGCGGCGUGCCUAACACAUGCAAGUCGAGCGGUAACAGGUGUAGCAAUACAUGCUGACGAGCGGCGAACGGGUGAGUAAUGCUUCGGAAUCUUCCUCGUAGUGGGGAAUAACCUGGGGAAACUCAGGCUAAUACCGCAUACGAACUACGGUUGAAAGCAGGGGAUCGCAAGACCUUGCGCUAUGAGAUGAGCCGAAGUCGGAUUAGCUAGUUGGUGAGGUAAAGGCUCACCAAGGCGACGAUCCGUAGCUGGUCUGAGAGGACGACCAGCCACACUGGGGCUGAGACACGGCCCAGACUCCUACGGGAGGCAGCAGUGGGGAAUAUUGGACAAUGGGGGCAACCCUGAUCCAGCGACGCCGCGUGUGUGAAGAAGGCCUGCGGGUUGUAAAGCACUUUUAGUGGGGAUGAAAAGCCGAAGGCUAAUACCUUUCGGUCUUGACCUAACCCAAAGAAAAAGCACCGGCUAACUCUGUGCCAGCCGCCGCCGUAA
RNAcentral lists this ribosomal RNA (502 nucleotides) under uncultured bacterium. RNAcentral's name for it is "partial 16S ribosomal RNA". It matches the Rfam family "Bacterial small subunit ribosomal RNA", at positions 30 to 523 of the family's 1533-position model. The record is from RNAcentral.